CCCUUCGUGGUGUAGUGGUCAGCACACUCGGCGCACAAUCGAGAGGUCUGUGGUUCGAGUCCCAGCGAGGACA
Molecule: transfer RNA, 73 nt
Filed under: Stegodyphus mimosarum
Lineage: Eukaryota; Metazoa; Arthropoda; Arachnida; Araneae; Eresidae
Rfam family: tRNA
About the family: Transfer RNA (tRNA) molecules are approximately 80 nucleotides in length. Their secondary structure includes four short double-helical elements and three loops (D, anti-codon, and T loops). Further hydrogen bonds mediate the characteristic L-shaped molecular structure. tRNAs have two regions of fundamental functional importance: the anti-codon, which is responsible for specific mRNA codon recognition, and the 3' end, to which the tRNAs corresponding amino acid is attached (by aminoacyl-tRNA synthetases). tRNAs cope with the degeneracy of the genetic code in two manners: having more than one tRNA (with a specific anti-codon) for a particular amino acid; and 'wobble' base-pairing, i.e. permitting non-standard base-pairing at the 3rd anti-codon position.
Source: Rfam by way of RNAcentral